RNAcentral lists this unclassified non-coding RNA (219 nucleotides) under Hevea brasiliensis (rubber tree). Lineage: Eukaryota; Viridiplantae; Streptophyta; Magnoliopsida; Malpighiales; Euphorbiaceae. The record is from RNAcentral.
AUUCUCAAUAACGAACUGACGCCAAGAACUUGUGACUAAGCAAACGCGUACAAGGUCAGAUGGAUCAUCCAAUUGAGAGAAGAUCUUGAAGGACAAAUCUGCGCCAAGCCAUUGUAAGAAAUCCCAGCUACUAUUCAUUUCACCCGUGGCCAAUUACGCCGAAGCCUUUUGGUGAGAAGCAAGAGAUGGCAAUGAAACCCUAAGGGAGGGAGAAUGGGA